This 477-nucleotide ribosomal RNA is filed under the name uncultured bacterium. RNAcentral describes it as "partial 16S ribosomal RNA". It matches the Rfam family "Bacterial small subunit ribosomal RNA", at positions 28 to 507 of the family's 1533-position model. The record is from RNAcentral.
GAUGAACGCUGGCGGCGUGCCUAAUACAUGCAAGUCGAGCGAACAGACGAGGAGCUUGCUCCUUUGACGUUAGCGGCGGACGGGUGAGUAACACGUGGGCAACCUACCUAUAAGACUGGGAUAACUUCGGGAAACCGGAGCUAAUACCGGAUAAUAUUUCGAACCGCAUGGUUCGAUAGUGAAAGAUGGCUCUGCUAUCACUUAUAGAUGGACCUGCGCCGUAUUAGCUAGUUGGUAAGGUAACGGCUUACCAAGGCAACGAUACGUAGCCGACCUGAGAGGGGGACAGGCGACGGAGGGACUGAGAUACGGCCCAGACUGGUACGGGGGGAAGCGGUGGGGAAUAUUGCACAAUGGGAGGAAGCAUGAAGCAGCAGCUCAGCGGGCGGGAAGAAGGCCUACGGGUUGUAACACGAGGUCGCCGGUGACGAAGCGCGAGUGACGGGAAGGGGUAAAGAAGCAACGGCUACAGACGUG